Molecule: ribosomal RNA, 253 nt
Filed under: uncultured bacterium
Lineage: Bacteria
Description: partial 16S ribosomal RNA
Rfam family: Bacterial small subunit ribosomal RNA
Source: RNAcentral
UACGUAGGGGGCAAGCGUUGUCCGGAAUUAUUGGGCGUAAAGCGCGCGCAGGCGGCCUAUUAAGUCUGAUGUGAAAGCCCACGGCUCAACCGUGGAGGGCCAUUGGAAACUGGUAGGCUUGAGUGCAGGAGAGGAGAGCGGAAUUCCUGGUGUAGCGGUGAAAUGCGUAGAUAUCAAGAGGAACACCUGAGGUGAAGACGGGUUGCUGGGCUGACACUGACGCUGAGGCGCGAAAGCCAGGGGAGCAAACGGG